This 450-nucleotide ribosomal RNA is filed under the name uncultured bacterium. Its description in RNAcentral is "bacterial SSU rRNA". It matches the Rfam family "Bacterial small subunit ribosomal RNA", at positions 29 to 497 of the family's 1533-position model. The record is from RNAcentral.
AACGAACGCUGGCGGCAGGCCUAACACAUGCAAGUCGAGCGAUACCAGCAAUGGUGGAGCGGCAGACGGGUGAGUAACACGUGGGAACGUACCCUUCGGUUCGGAAUAACUCAGGGAAACUUGAGCUAAUACUGGAUACGUCCGAGAGGAGAAAGAUUUAUCGCCGAAGGAUCGGCCCGCGUCUGAUUAGCUAGUUGGUGAGGUAAUGGCUCACCAAGGCGACGAUCAGUAGCUGGUCUGAGAGGAUGAUCAGCCACAUUGGGACUGAGACACGGCCCAAACUCCUACGGGAGGCAGCAGUGGGGAAUAUUGGACAAUGGGCGCAAGCCUGAUCCAGCCAUGCCGCGUGAGUGAUGAAGGCCUUAGGGUUGUAAAGCUCUUUUGUCAGGGAAGAAACGGUUCGGGCCAAUACCCUGGGCUAAUGACGGUACCUGAAGAAUAAGCACCGGC